GCAGGAACGGUAACGGGGCCCUGGCCUGCCUGCUCCAGCUGUGGUCUCAGCAAGGGCUUGGACACCAAACCUCUACAGCUGCACUGGCAGCUGCUCGCUCAGAACUCCUGGAAUAAUUAAUCCAUUAUAAUUAAUUAAUUAAUUAAUCCAUUAAAACAGCAUUGACUUUGACAUGAAAAUGAUUUUGUAGAGAAAAAACAGGAGUUAUAUCAAUAAUCCUAUAUCCCGCAAACCAUAAGACUAUAUGUUAAGUGUGGCAUGGUUUUGCUAAGCAGAUACUGGAGGAGUAACGGGACAUCAAGAGCAACCUCUGGGGACCUCAGUCCGGCCCUGACCCCAGGUACACCCUGGAGCCAAGCUGAUGUUACUUGGGGUAAUUUCAGGUAAUGCACGAUGGGGAGGUGCUCUCUCUCUCUGUACAUCUCUGGGCCACAGAGAACCAGGAUACAUUUCUUGUCCUGAUAGUGGAACUUUCCUAAAUAGAAAGAUCCAUCUCCUCUUGCAUAUUUUUGGUCUCUGGAGUCAGUAGGACGGUGGUGGGGAAUGCUGGUGGGAAAGGGUUCAUAACGUACUUGGAGAAAGACAACAUCAAUUGCACUAUGAUUAUUUACACUGUGUGAAAAAAAGCAAUUAUACUUCCUAGUCAUCCACUACUUAUAUUUUAAAAGUAUUUCCGAUGAAGACAGGAGUGAACUUAGCACACAUUAUGAGUCUGUAGAAAAACAAGAGCCCAGUGGCCCAGUGUUAAUGAAUACAGAACUUCUUGUACAUGCUGCUUGCAGGAAGUAUCCAUGCAUCCUUUUGUCUCUUUUCAGUCACAAAAGGGAAAUACCUGCCUGCAUAUAUUGGUUUUCCUUCCAUUCCUAUCAAAUAUUGCUUUGGAGAGUAUAAAGUAAUUUGAAGUUCUUUUUCUGCUUUAUUGUUAGAACCAGAGCAUUUUCUCUUACAGUGUAAAUUUACUUUUGUGGAGCUUUAAUGCGCUCUGCAUUGCACUUUAUAUAUUUGUCACUUGUUGGGCCAUUUAUUUUUGAUAUACAAAACAAUAAUUUUUUUGUUACUCUAGUUUUACCUAGAAAAUAACCAUGCAACUAAGAUGUUUUUAUAAAAAUGCAAGUUCCAUGAAAUGUAGCAAAUAAACUAUUUAGAUUGGAAAUCUUUUUAAUGAUAGCGCUGAGAAAUAUUAUAGCCUCUGAAAUGAUUUACUAUGUAGGAAAUUCAAUAUAUUUAUGGAUGAGUAUCCAUUGGAGUAUCAAUAAAUGGAGUAUGGAUAAACAGGAGACAAAGCUCGAGCCGUUGGAUUUGCUUAUAUGAAAGACUUGUAUUAGUUCAAUUGAUAUGAGCCUGAGAUGGCCCUUGGCUCUGCGGGGCUGCACUCACGCGAGUAUGACUGACCUACCAUCAGAAGCCAAUGCUGUUUCUGUUUGUUUUUUUUCUGGCUUUAUCCCCUCCAGCUUGGGGAACCAGUGUCCUAAAGACAAUCUUCUUGUUCCUAAGUGCGCUAAUGAAGAACUCAUCUUCCCCAGAAUUUUGUUGUCAAGCAUGGGACCCUAACACUGUCCACAUGUAGGUUAAUAUAAAUAUUUUUAGAUGCCAAUUUCAGUGCUUUAAAUGAAAACCAAUUUCUCUGCCCCUGCACAGAAUCCCUUGAAAUUUUGUGGAGUAUGCUGAAAGAUAAAGACAUUUGUACUUUGUCCAGACUGUGUUUGUUCCAAAUCACAGCUGGUACUGUGUGUGCCUGCGAUACCCAUCCUGCAGAGCUGAGCGGUGAAGGGGACGAGGGGCUGUGAUGGCUCCUCCUUCACACGGUGAAGCACUCUCCCUAGCUGUACACACAGGCUCUCAGUCUUUGGUGGGAGACGGAAAUCCCUGUGGAAGCUCCUUGUCAGCCACGCAGCAGAGUUCCUGGCCUUCUUCAGAGCCUUCAGAUGCUCUGCUUUCUCAUUUCUGCAUCCAUAGGUGCCAGCGGAAGCGAAUGGCUCAGCCGCACAGUGUGAAGACAGUCCCAGCUUGAGUUGCAAAUGCAUCAUCUUGCUAUUGUUUCACCCAGCUUCAGCUUCACCUACAAAAGAUAAGCAGGGUCAAGGGGCUCUGACGGACGGUGGUUCUUCAGGCAGCACACACAGCUCUGCUGCCCAGCUGCUUUCUGUGUUCCUGCAUGUGUUUAAAGGAAAGUUGAAAAGAGAGAGGAGACUUUUACAAGUAGCUGAUACUGGCAAUCUCAUUUGAUCCUGCCAUCCUGAGGCAGAGGCACAGAUGUAGGUGACGUGCUUCCACUGCUGGCCACUUGCACGUGGCCCAACAGCCAGCAGACUCUGUUUCUUAAGCUGAAACCCUUCCCAGAACAGCAAAAUGCCACCAUGAAGACGUUUGUUAUCUUCCUCUCUGUCUUCUUGUUGCACUGGCGGCAGGAGAAAAGUGCAGGAAUCAUAGGAGCCCGGCCAUGACUCAUCCAAAUGCCUUUGCACUGCCACAGGUGUUAGGUGAAAAAUGUACAGUCUUGGGCUCUCCAGAAUUUUGCUGUUACUUUCCAUGCAAAAAAAAAAAAAAAAAAGGAUUUAAAGUCUUAGGGUCCACAUCUGAGUUGAUUUUGCAUGCUGAAUCAAGAGCACUUCCAACAGACUUCAGAUACGUAGGCAGUCAUCCUUUGUACAAGUGAUGACACUCGAGUGUUUUGAUUAUUUUUCUUAAAGCAUUUGUGAAAUUAGCAGUGAGCAUAUUAGUGGCUUAAAAUCUAUGAAAAUAACUGAGAUUAAGUAUUAAAAGCAUGUGCUUUCAUGUGAAACGUGAAAGAAUACUACUGAAAGUAUUUAGUUUGCUAAGCACUGGCUCCUGAGUUUGUUAAUGCACUAAACUUGCAUUUGACAGAGUAACUUCUUCUAAAUAGAGCAAGUAAUAAUUUCUUCUCAAAUUAUUUGGAUAAUUCAGGAAAUGAACAGUUUGUUUCUGGUCACUGGGUUUUAGAAGGAAGAAAUCUCAUCCUCCUUUUAAAAUUCAGUAUUUGGAUGGAAAAAAAUCUUCUUGCUUUUCCAUUCCCAACUGAAUGAUCAGUUCAAGUAAGGAUCUAAGUCAUCCCAUAACUUUUUUUAAAGUAAAAACUAGGAACAUGAAGAAACAUGAACGUGAGGAAUCAUGAACAAAGUCAAUAACUAUUUUCAGACCAUUCUGAUUAGUAAAAGUCUUUGUUAAAAUUAUGUUCUGUUGCACAGCUCCCUGAUUUAGUGAGAAAGCAAUUUUUCUUCUGAAAGAAAGAAAAAAGAGGGAAAAGGACAAAUGGAAAACAAGAUUAAACGAGAUCAUUUAAACCCAGGUUUCCUGCUUGUUUUUAGGUCCAUCCCACCCAUUCUAUCACUGUUGUGUGUUCAGGGAUGCUCAGGACAACAGACAUUCCUCACGGGGAGCAGCUCGGUUCCAAAGUGUGAAAUCAAAGCUGUGAGCAAAUUCAAAAUAUUAGCUAUUGCCAAAAAAAGCAUCAAAGCACUACUUGCUACUGAACGGGAAUUUCAGUGUUUCAAAGGAAUCACUUUUUAAUCUAGUUCAUUGCUGUAUUUACAAACAGGUUGCUGUUGUUCUGCUUGCUUGUCUCUUAGGGCUAUGUUUGUCCACACACCUCGGAGCAGGGCACACUGGUACUCAGAUGGCCACAACUGAACUGGAAUCUCUCACAAUUCCCAGUUACGUUACACAUUUUUUUGAAGAAACAGCAGUCUUUGAAUGAAAAACUACUUAAAAGCAUCUCAAAAUAAGGCAACGAGAAAAAGAAACAGCUUUGUUUGGGAAAUACCACCAAGUUCCCAUCAACCCACAAGAUGCGUGCUUAAUUGCCCUCCUGUAGCUUUGUCAGAUUGCAUUUCUGUUGAAGGCAGGUGGUGAUUAAACUACAUAGCAUAGAGACUUCCUUUGAUCUAUGUAAAUGAAUGUAUAUGUAUAAACUAUGCAUUUUCAUCCAGCUGCAAACUGUAUCUCUAAGUGGUUAAAUCUAACCUCUUCCUCAAUGUUAGUAACUCCCAAACUCCAGGAGAUGAAGGUGCUCCUCAUCUUUUUUAGCAUGUAAUUCUCUCCUGUCUUGCUUCUGUGCUUUACAAAGGCAAGAUGUGUGGUGGGGGAGCUGCAGGGCCCAACGAGCAGUGAGCAGGGCCAUGGCUGAAGCAGGAACACGCGAAUGAGACCAGGUUGGGCCCAGCAUGGUUGAGCAGAGGGCUGCAGCUGCUGCUCCAGCUCCAGCACUUCUUUCACAAUUGGGCAGCAGAGCAGGACUAGCAGCUACUGCCUCACACGGGGUCAGUGGGAGUGUGCAGCAGUGCUGGAAGAAGCUAUGCCAAGGAGGAGGUCACUGCAGACUGGGUUUACAGCCCUCACUGUCUCCUUGUGAGAGCCUUUCUGGCCACCACAGCCCCAGGUCUGCCCUUACCUCUCCGUGGUACACAGGAGCCUCCUUUGGCUGCAGAUGCCUGGCAGCACUCACAGCAUGCAGUUCUUCACGGUGAGCACUGGUGGGGCUUCAGGAGAGGAAGGGUCAGGCCCUGUUCUGAGCAUAUCCCUGCUAGAAGGAAUUAGGAGAGGUGAAAAAUGGAGGUCUCGUUCUAGUAGCUGUUGUAAUGAAGGCAAAAGGUGCUGCAUGCAAUGUUAUUGCUUACAUUUCAGGUUGUUGCUGUAAUAUUCAUCAGCCCGGUCUGGUCAGUGACCUAAGUGUGUUUCAUAUGGCUUAUCUUGCAGGAAGAAAGACCAAAAAAAUAAAAAAAAUAAAUAGAAAGAAAGAAAAGAUCCUUGCUUUAAAGUAAAAGCAAGAGUGGACUAAAUCAAAUCUUUCUCUCUUCUUUAUAUGCAACCUAUUCAAAUAUUUGAUACUAGUAUGGCAGCAGUGGUAUUUUUAUCUAUCCAGAGAUGUGCAUUCAUUUAGGUUAUGCUUGAUUGAGAAGUAUUUUUGCAGUAUGUAUUUGUAUUUGAUGGGCUUCGGCCCUUCAUUUUGUAUUCUUUACAAGAAUUAGCAUGGAAAUGAUGCUUCCCCAUUUAUUGAGCUACCUGACCAUCCCAGCUGUCUGCAUACAAAAUAUUUCCAGAACUUUGGAGGAUUUGGGAUUUUGGUUUGGUUUAAACACUGUCCUUCUUUAAAAAAUAAAAAUAAAAAUAAAUGCAGUGCUAUUUUAAUAGCAAAGCAUAUUCCUUACCAGGGCCCCUGCGAUGUGAUGCAGAGAACCCAGUGACAUGAUGCAAAUGUGGGUUCUCAGCAGCCACAGCUCCCAUGGCUGUAGCAUGUACACCAGCAGAGGAGCUGCCCCCAGGAGGGGUAUGUGGAGCUGUGGGGUGCUCAGUGUGCAGGGGGGGGGCUCUGUGGAGCUGGCACAUCCUCCUACCAGGACGUGGCCUGUAACAGCAACAGAAGGACACUGCUGCAUCUCUCUGCAACCCGUGAUGUCCUGCAGGUCUGCCGUGGCUCCGGCUGCAGUCCCUCAGCUCAGAACCCUGAGCGCAGUGCUCGGGCUUUGGCAUCACUUACGAUCACAAAGAAAUGGAUAAAUCCGUGGUGCUAUGAUGUGAAUCUGAGAGUCAAACUGGCCAUAGCAGACACACCGGUUAGGGAUGCACUUUUCCUGUGGCACACAAUGUAUUUUCUCAGAACGGACUUUCAAAGGACCAUCAGAUGUUUACAUUUCUUCUUGUUGCCCCAAAUAGUUUUGGAUAUUGAAAUAACUUCCAAAAAUAGAGAAAGACGUGAUGCAUUACCGAUGUGAUGAAUCCUUACAUCUAGGUAUCUACAACAGGUUUGUACAAAUACCAUUUUAGAGAUAGUUGAAAUAUUGGGCUUUCAUACUUUGUAAUGCUUUGAUGUGACAAUAAAUAUGCUGUUGCUAUCUAUCUAGUCUAACCUCAUUGUAGACCUGUAAUUUCCUGUUUAUGGUUAUGUCAUGAAUUGCACUGGCUUGACUUCAGCCAAAUACUGACUGUUCAGCUGAAAUAUUCCGACUGUUAUGAUGUCCACAAAACAUUAAUUAAAUGCACUUGUAACCGACUACUGAGGAGUAUGUCAAGUUAUUCAUGUAAUAAAA
RNAcentral lists this long non-coding RNA (6044 nucleotides) under Gallus gallus (chicken). Its description in RNAcentral is "lncRNA (ENSGALG00010004860.1)". The record is from RNAcentral. Lineage: Eukaryota; Metazoa; Chordata; Aves; Galliformes; Phasianidae.